This is a non-coding RNA of Lupinus angustifolius (narrow-leaved blue lupine), 73 nucleotides long. Lineage: Eukaryota; Viridiplantae; Streptophyta; Magnoliopsida; Fabales; Fabaceae. The record is from Rfam.
UACCUGGUUGAUCCUACCAGUAGUCAUAUGCUUGUCUAAAAGAUUAAGCUAUGCAUGUGUAAGUAUGAACUAA